Non-coding RNA from Microcebus murinus (gray mouse lemur), 3594 nucleotides. The record is from RefSeq and is a predicted model, not a curated record. NCBI's taxonomy places the organism in Eukaryota, Metazoa, Chordata, Mammalia, Primates, Cheirogaleidae.
UUCAACCAUUUUAUAUUAAAUCUACAGUCUCUGUCAGGCUAAUUUCAGUAAGAUUGAAGCAGAAAUUUCUUCUUCUUUUAAAAAUGUAAUGUUCAAAGUCUUGUCUGCACUCAUUUAGGUGUUUCACCAAGUAUAAAGUUUGUUUUCUGGGAAUUCACAGUUAUUUGAAAAUCCUCUCCAUAAUAAAUAAGGGCACAUAUGCAUGAUACAGUUACAGUGAUCAUAUAUGACACUCUGACACACAAAAGAAUUCACUCCCUUACCAAAUAGCAACGGAAUGUCUGCUAUAGUCAGGCUCUGUUUUAGACACUGGAGGUACAGCAGUGAACCGAAGAGACACAUUUCCUAACUCACAUAGCUUAUUUUUGACAGGAAAAUGGCUGCUGUAGCUGCACGUUGGCUUCUUCUCAUCCACACAAGCGUAGGAAGCACAGCAAGCGCGAUUGCAGCCUGGUGCAGCAGAGCAGGGCCCCGUCUGUGAAAGAGAAGAAACCCAAAGAUGACUUUUGUACCUUUUAUGGAGGCUUGUGCACCCACCCAUAUAGCCCAGAGAGAGAAAUUGGAUAUUUAUAGAUUCCUGUGAGAGUAAUUGCUAGUACUUAAAAUUCAAGAGAUUUUUCAGCCUCCAAAUUUGAUUUUCAUUUAUCUGUUUGACUUUCUGUGCUUUGGUAAGCAUGAAAGGCAGUAUGACCUAACGACUAAGAAUCUAAGUACUGGAAUGAGCUUCCAUGGGUUCAAGUCCUAGCUCUGCUAUUUUCCAGUUCUGGGACCUUACAGAUGUGAUGUACCUCAUUUCUCUCACCUGUAAGAUAGAGAUGGUUCUGAUAUUACCUGACUGAUACAUUGUGGCUUAUUGUGAGGAUUGCAUGGAUUCAUACAUGUAAAAUACUUAUAGUAGUGUUUGGCAUAUAGUAGGCACUCAAAAAAUGCUAGAUAUUAUUAUGCAUAAAUAAAAAAUCCCACCUAAGAUAUAUGAAUUUGGGAAUAAUUUGCAUUAUAUUUCUGUUGGAGUAAAUUAUUUUGGAGUUUUCUUUUUCCUUUUGGUGUUGAGUGGAACCUUUAUCAGGGAUGAUAAAUAGGACCCAAUUUUGAUACAUAGCAAGAAGGACCCUGUGUUUUAGGGGCUUCUCUCCUUGAAGACUCUCCAUGGCUUGGUUCUGGUUCUGUCACUUUUGUCCUGUGAGCUUCAGGUUACCUACGCAACAAAAACACAGAACAGAUGUUAUGAAGCUGAGCUAAUGGCAGCCCGUAGCACCGAGCUCCUUAACUGAUGGGUUCAAAAACUUUCCCCUAGCAAUUCAAGAGUGCCAAGAGUAAGUGGGCCAAGAAGGAGAGUUAUGGCUCUUUGCAAACCCAGAAGGAGCAGUUCUCAGUCUGCACUUGACAUGUCUGAGGGUUUAGAAGACCGUUUUGUGGUACGGCUGAAUCCCCAGUGUGCUGUGUUCCCAGGGAAGAAAACCAAUAACAACAGAUCCCACAACUCAUACCAUUUACUAAAUGGGCUUCCUCGCAAGUGGGGCUCUGGGAGGAAUCUCACAAUUUCCUGCCGCUUUGUCUCUGAAGGCCAGUUGCGGAGAAGAGAAUAGAGGUAGAAGCACCUUUACUUUGCAAGCUCUAACUGCAAGUCUGAAGGCCGGGUGGUUGUCAGACGUGUAGCAUAGACUGCUGGGCUCACCCCCAAGAGUUUCUGAUUCAGUGCAUCUGGGGGAGGACUCUAGAAUUUGCACAUCUACAAGUUCCCAGGUAAUGCCGAUGCUGCUUGACUAUAGACCACAUUUCCAGAACCCCAGCUCUAGGCUAUUUAUAUAAUAGUAGCAUCAACUCUGCACUGACUUAUUAGGAUAUAGAUUUGGACCCCAGGUUAUAAACAUCAGUUGGAAUUUUGCUUAAUUCUUCAUGUAAAAAGAGAAACUGUAAAAUGUUUUGUGAUAUUGCUAUGUAAAAACUAUCUAACAGUUCAGUGAAAAUGUUUAUGGCUAUUGACUCAGUAGGAACAGUUUUGUUCGCCUUUUUCCCUAAAAUAACCAAUUUACUCAAGACUAAGCUCUUUUUCCAGUUGGCCUCAAGUUUUCUAAACGUAGUUUUGUUUUCCUUAAUGCAGAAUUAUUUAUAAAAGACAAAAAGAUACAACUCAAUGUCUGGUUUUCUGUGUUGACAGUAUAAUUAAACAGGUACUUCUUUAAAAAAUAUUUUUUCUCAUCUUCUACCCUUCCCUUUUGAUAUUAGCCCCUAACUUCUAUCCGUAGUUUUUAGCUUUGAACUACUUAGUAGAUCUCCAAUAGACUGAACUGAGCUUUACCACAUAGCUAAAAAUAUUCCACCUGAAUACUUUUUACUCUGACCAGUAUAUUUUUAGGUUUAACAAUUUGACAGCUUUCUCAUCUCUAUCUCAAUUUUCCUCUCUUCUCCAACUUAGGGCAGAGAUUGACCCAGUAAAUACCAUGUUUCAUGCAGCAGAAAGCUCAAACACACUUGAUUCAGGUUCAUCUGGAGAAAACUAGAAUUUGAUAGAGGAGCCUAGAAUCCAGAGACAAAAACAGAGACAACAGGACAUCACAGAAUGGGAAGGCACACCCUCUUGGAAAUCUGCAGCUACAUAGCCCUAGAACUUCAUUUUAGGGCUUCAGAUGAAUUAUUUCACGCCAUAACACCCAAAGCCCAUAUCAACUGCCAUCAUUGAAAGAUAAAAAGAUCCAAAGAAACUGGGUGAAUAAUAAAAUAACGGAGCACAAGACAAAUCCUGAAUAAGAAACAAACACAUAGAAAAUGAAGCCUCCUUCGAAGAAGGCAAAGGACAAAAAAAGUGAGAGCAAUAUUUUCCUGGCCUGAAAUGGAAAUGUCACUACUGGACAUCAGCCAUUGCAGACUUGGCUAUUUUAGCAAAGUUGGGAGAAAACAGUGUGGUGGCCAAGCAAGUUGCCCGAGUCAUUAGGAGUUGGAGGGAGUCCUGCUACGGUCAGGGUUGCGCUCUUGCUACUUACCACUGUUCCUGGCAAGGCCGAUCGUUGUGGCUGCACUGGGGGCCUCUGGGACUCAGGAAUCUGAGACUGUGAUGGGAGAGGGCAAGUCCAAGUCCUCUCGGAAAGAAGAUGCCUUGGAGUAACCUCAUGUGGCCUGCAUGUGCCUGGCCCCUGUGCCAGUCCGUGCUCGGCGGGAGUACCAGUUAAUCCUUCCCACGUCUGCAUGGAGUAUGGAGCUCCUCAGCCUCCACAGGGAAGGUGCGUUCGGGACAUUGGGCUAUUUAUCAUGUUUUUACAUCAGGCUCAGCUGUCUUCACUUCUCACUUAUUAUGUAACUCCCUCAGAAGCAAGCAGAUAGUGUCUCUAAACACAGGGAGCAGAGAGGGGGGCAGACAACAGAGGAGAAAUAGUGCUGCAUCCACGUAGAAUAUUCUUGGCAGAGAAUCAUAGGAGGUCAAAAAAUUUUAGAUAUAAAAUUUUACAUAUGAACAAACAAAGCCUCAGACAAGUUAAGUGACUUAUCCAAGGAUAUGGAGAUAGUUAGCAAUGUCAGGAUUAAGGUUUUUUUCCCAAAGGUUGAAAUUUCUGUUUUUCUCUCACUUUCUACUUAUCUGUAAUUAUACACACAUAUACA